RNAcentral lists this ribosomal RNA (465 nucleotides) under uncultured bacterium. RNAcentral's name for it is "partial 16S ribosomal RNA". It matches the Rfam family "Bacterial small subunit ribosomal RNA", at positions 339 to 795 of the family's 1533-position model. The record is from RNAcentral.
CUACGGGUCGCUGCAGUGGGGAAUAUUGGACAAUGGGGGAAACCCUGAUCCAGCAAUGCCGCGUGUGUGAAGAAGGCCUGCGGGUUGUAAAGCACUUUCGGUUGGGAGGACUGCUUCUAGCACUAAUAUUGUUGGAAGUUGACGUUACCUUCAGAAGAAGCACGGGCUAACUCCGUGCCAGCAGCCGCGGUAAUACGGAGGGUGUAAGCGUUAAUCGGAAUUACUGGGCGUAAAGCGCGCGUAGGCGGCUAGAUCAGUCGGGUGUGAAAGCACCGGGCUUAACCUGGGAACUGCAUCCGAUACUGUCUAGCUUGAGUACAGGAGAGGAGAGUGGAAUUCCACAUGUAGCGGUGAAAUGCGUAGAUAUGUGGAGGAACACCAAUGGCGAAGGCAGCUCUCUGGCCUGAUACUGACGCUGAGGUGCGAAAGCGUGGGGAGCAAACAGGAUUAGAUACCCCUGUAGUC